RNAcentral lists this ribosomal RNA (433 nucleotides) under uncultured bacterium. RNAcentral's name for it is "partial 16S ribosomal RNA". It matches the Rfam family "Bacterial small subunit ribosomal RNA", at positions 29 to 507 of the family's 1533-position model. The record is from RNAcentral.
AACGAACGCUGGCGGCAUGCCUAACACAUGCAAGUCGAACGAGACCUUCGGGUCUAGUGGCGCACGGGUGCGUAACGCGUGGGAACCUGCCCUUAGGUUCGGAAUAACUCCCCGAAAGGGGUGCUAAUACCGGAUAAUGUCUUCGGACCAAAGAUUUAUCGCCUUUGGAUGGGCCCGCGUUGGUUUAGCUAGUUGGUAGGGUAAAAGCCUACCAAGGCGACGAUCCGUAGCUGGUCUGAGAGGAUGAUCAGCCACACUGGGACUGAGACACGGCCCAGACUCCUACGGGAAGCAGCAGUGGGGAAUAUUGGACAAUGGGCGAAAGCCUGAUCCAGCAAUGCCGCGUGAGUGAUGAAGGCCUUAGGGUUGUAAAGCUCUUUUACCCGGGAUGAUAAUGACAGUACCGGGAGAAUAAGCUCCGGCUAACUCCGUG